This 253-nucleotide ribosomal RNA is filed under the name uncultured bacterium. Its description in RNAcentral is "partial 16S ribosomal RNA". It matches the Rfam family "Bacterial small subunit ribosomal RNA", at positions 524 to 776 of the family's 1533-position model. The record is from RNAcentral.
UACGUAGGGGGCAAGCGUUGUCCGGAUUUAUUGGGCGUAAAGAGCGUGUAGGCGGUUAGGUAGGUCCGUUGUGAAAACUCGAGGCUCAACCUCGAGACGCCGAUGGAAACCAUCUGACUAGAGUCCGGAAGAGGAGAGUGGAAUUCCUGGUGUAGCGGUGAAAUGCGCAGAUAUCAGGAAGAACACCCGUGGCUAAGGCGGCUCUCUAGUACGGUACUGACGCUGAGGCACGAAAGCGUGGGUAGCAAACAGG